RNAcentral lists this long non-coding RNA (240 nucleotides) under Aotus nancymaae (Ma's night monkey). RNAcentral describes it as "lncRNA (ENSANAG00000038764.1)". The record is from RNAcentral. Lineage: Eukaryota; Metazoa; Chordata; Mammalia; Primates; Aotidae.
UAGAAUACACGAUUAGCCAGUGAAAAACUCACAACUAGUCUAUCCAGUAGAGGAAAGUUCUUGUGGGCAGUUUGAAAGCCUCUAAGAGAAGAUAGAAGUUUGGAACCAGAUGGCAGGAGACACGAGGAAGGCUGCAGAUGCUUUGAACUUGUCUACUGGAGGAAUAUGCUAUGUUGUGUCUCUGUGCUUUCUGUGAUGGCAGGAACUGGUGAGAGUAUGACCCACUUGGACAUUACUAGU